This 1355-nucleotide ribosomal RNA is filed under the name Salmonella enterica. Its description in RNAcentral is "partial 23S ribosomal RNA". It matches the Rfam family "Bacterial large subunit ribosomal RNA", at positions 1153 to 2491 of the family's 2925-position model. Lineage: Bacteria; Pseudomonadati; Pseudomonadota; Gammaproteobacteria; Enterobacterales; Enterobacteriaceae. The record is from RNAcentral.
GUCGGCCUGCGCGGAAGAUGUAACGGGGCUAAACCAUGCACCGAAGCUGCGGCAGCGACACUAUGUGUUGUUGGGUAGGGGAGCGUUCUGUAAGCCUGUGAAGGUGUGUCGUGAGGCAUGCUGGAGGUAUCAGAAGUGCGAAUGCUGACAUAAGUAACGAUAAAGCGGGUGAAAAGCCCGCUCGCCGGAAGACCAAGGGUUCCUGUCCAACGUUAAUCGGGGCAGGGUGAGUCGACCCCUAAGGCGAGGCCGAAAGGCGUAGUCGAUGGGAAACGGGUUAAUAUUCCCGUACUUGGUGUUACUGCGAAGGGGGGACGGAGAAGGCUAUGUUGGCCGGGCGACGGUUGUCCCGGUUUAAGCGUGUAGGUGUGUGUUCCAGGUAAAUCCGGUUCACUUUAACACUGAGGCGUGACGACGAGGCACUACGGUGCUGAAGCAACAAAUGCCCUGCUUCCAGGAAAAGCCUCUAAGCAUCAGGUAACAUCAAAUCGUACCCCAAACCGACACAGGUGGUCAGGUAGAGAAUACCAAGGCGCUUGAGAGAACUCGGGUGAAGGAACUAGGCAAAAUGGUGCCGUAACUUCGGGAGAAGGCACGCUGACACGUAGGUGAAGUGAUUUACUCAUGGAGCUGAAGUCAGUCGAAGAUACCAGCUGGCUGCAACUGUUUAUUAAAAACACAGCACUGUGCAAACACGAAAGUGGACGUAUACGGUGUGACGCCUGCCCGGUGCCGGAAGGUUAAUUGAUGGGGUCAGCGCAAGCGAAGCUCCUGAUCGAAGCCCCGGUAAACGGCGGCCGUAACUAUAACGGUCCUAAGGUAGCGAAAUUCCUUGUCGGGUAAGUUCCGACCUGCACGAAUGGCGUAAUGAUGGCCAGGCUGUCUCCACCCGAGACUCAGUGAAAUUGAACUCGCUGUGAAGAUGCAGUGUACCCGCGGCAAGACGGAAAGACCCCGUGAACCUUUACUAUAGCUUGACACUGAACAUUGAGCCUUGAUGUGUAGGAUAGGUGGGAGGCUUUGAAGUGUGGACGCCAGUCUGCAUGGAGCCGACCUUGAAAUACCACCCUUUAAUGUUUGAUGUUCUAACGUGGACCCGUGAUCCGGGUUGCGGACAGUGUCUGGUGGGUAGUUUGACUGGGGCGGUCUCCUCCUAAAGAGUAACGGAGGAGCACGAAGGUUGGCUAAUCCUGGUCGGACAUCAGGAGGUUAGUGCAAUGGCAUAAGCCAGCUUGACUGCGAGCGUGACGGCGCGAGCAGGUGCGAAAGCAGGUCAUAGUGAUCCGGUGGUUCUGAAUGGAAGGGCCAUCGCUCAACGGAUAAAAGGUACUCCGGGGAUAACAGGCUGAUACCGC